CGAGCAUCACUUGAGCUCCUCGUGUCUGUGCACCGGCUCAGCCAAUCAGCGCGCAGCGGCUCGGGGCCGUGUGUCUUUAAGAGUGUAAGGUGGGUGAGUCCGGCUCCUCCUGACGCGCGCGCUGGUAUGCAAACAUAAAUUUAGCAGCAACGUGUUUGCGGGGGAACAAAAUAUCUGGAAGCGGCCGUGAAGUGUCAUGUCGUCUCCGGCGGUUCUUGGCUGACUUUAACCUUUUUCUCCCCCCCUCCUCCUCCUCCUCCCCUCCUCUUCCUCCCCUCCACCCGUGUGAAGUGGAGCCGGAGAGCAGAGCCGAGCAGCGGAGAGGAGAGUGACUGGACGGACCGGGACCGACGGACCGGGAGCGCAGGGCACACAGCUGUCUGUCCACACUUUGAGAGUCUACCAGCACCGGAGAUGACAGCAGGCUGCUGGAGCUGGACCGGGCUGCUGCUCGCCGCCGUCUGUGUGGAGCAAAGUGGAACCUUCCAGAAGCUUUUUCUUCUCCUUUUUGCUGGAUGGGGAUUUGAAGGUGGUGGUGUGACCUUAAAAGACACUCAAGCAUCUCUCUGAGCACCGAGGUUAGUGCCUGUAAACACUGAUUUGGCUCCAGCCAAGGCGACGGAGCAAAGCAAAUCCUUUUUGUU
Molecule: long non-coding RNA, 644 nt
Filed under: Sparus aurata (gilthead seabream)
Lineage: Eukaryota; Metazoa; Chordata; Actinopteri; Spariformes; Sparidae
Description: lncRNA (ENSSAUG00010026797.1)
Source: RNAcentral